AGCACCUGGAACACUGAGGCUGGACCACAGAGGCUCAGUAUCUGAAGGCUGAGUUUGAACAGCCAGAGACCAGGGCUAUUAGAGGGCCACAGCGUGGGGCCGUAAG
Long non-coding RNA from Gopherus evgoodei (Goodes thornscrub tortoise), 106 nucleotides. RefSeq lists it as uncharacterized. Lineage: Eukaryota; Metazoa; Chordata; Testudines; Testudinidae. The record is from RefSeq and is a predicted model, not a curated record. The transcript has 3 exons.